RNAcentral lists this unclassified non-coding RNA (396 nucleotides) under fungal sp. RNAcentral's name for it is "partial internal transcribed spacer region". The stretch from base 1 to 46 matches the Rfam family "Eukaryotic small subunit ribosomal RNA", at positions 1786 to 1831 of the family's 1831-position model. Lineage: Eukaryota; Fungi. The record is from RNAcentral.
AAGUCGUAACAAGGUUUCCGUAGGUGAACCUGCGGAAGGAUCAUUAAUACGCUUUUGUUUGUAACAAAACAAAACGUUUUAAACCCCAAAAUUGAAAUAGUGGAAAUAUAACUUCCGGAUGCGAAUGUUGGGGAACUGAGUAAAAUCGGUUCUUUGAAAAAAAGGGACUUCAAGCAAUUGACACUUCAGAGUAGAGCAGUGAGGUGAAACUCGAAAGAGUUUGGUUCUGAAAAACAUUUGUAUCCGGUUAUCAAAUCUGUUCUACCAAUUUAUCAAACAAUAAACCCCAUGUACAACAACUUGAACUAAACAUUUUUUUGUUGUCUGCUUUGCGGCAGAUGCAAAGAAAAAACCUGAACUUAAGAACAACUCUUAACAACGGAUAUCUUGGUUCUC